RNAcentral lists this ribosomal RNA (465 nucleotides) under uncultured bacterium. Its description in RNAcentral is "partial 16S ribosomal RNA". It matches the Rfam family "Bacterial small subunit ribosomal RNA", at positions 28 to 507 of the family's 1533-position model. The record is from RNAcentral.
GACGAACGCUGGCGGCGUGCUUAACACAUGCAAGUCGAACGGAAAGGCCCCUUUGGGGGUACUCGAGUGGCGAACGGGAGAGUAACACGUGAGUAACCUGCCCUUGACUUCGGGAUAACUUCAGGAAACUGGGGCUAAUACCGGCUAGGAAUCCUUGCUGCAUGGUGGGGGUUGGAAAGCUUCGGCGGUUUUGGAUGGACUCGCGGCUGAUCAGCUUGUUGGUGGGGUAGUGGCUUAUCAAGGCUUUGACGGGUAGCCGGCCUGGGAGGGCGACCGGCCACAGUGGGACUGAGAUACGGCCCAGACUCCGACGGGAGGCAGCAGUGGGGAAUAGUGCACAAUGGGCGGAAGCCUGAUGCAGCAACGCCGCGGGCGGGAUGACGGCCUUCGGGUUGUAAACCGCUUUCAGCAGGGGCGAAGCUUGUGGUGACGGUACCUGCAGAAGAAGCACCGGCUAACUACGUG